UGGUGGAGAGCUGGGUUUAGAGGAGUCAGUGUAAAGGGAAGACUAAGGAUGCAUCGGUUCUGGGGAGUUGAGAAUAUGCCUUCCCCCCCCCAGGCACCUUUAAAAAAAUAAUAAAACAUCUUCUUUUAUUUUAAAAUCUAAGCCGGGAAGUUUGCUCGGUGCAGCUGCUUUAAGGCAACACAGUUUCUCAUGUCCUUUAUGUCUGGCUGUCCCAUGGUCUGGAGACAGAGUCGGGGGAACAAGCCUGAGCUGGUCUCUGACUUCCUGGAGUUACACUCGAUUUGGGGAGAUGGAUGGAUGGAUGGCACACAAGGGACCGACCAGAGAGCGUCACACAUGAUUUAUUUUCACAAAAAGACCAAGCUACAGUGAUGCGAAUAAAGUUUGAUGCUGCAGAGUGUGCCUGAAAUCGAAGGCAAGGUGAAUGAGACACUGUGUCCAGAGUGUGGGGUGUACGAAGCUCUUCCACACUCGGAUGCCCUCCGUCUUUGUCAUCCUCCAGCAUGCUGGGCUGCGCAGGUGCUCCUGCUGUCUCCGUGGUAUCUCCAGAUGAGGAGACCAGCUCAGAGAGGGGAAGGCAUUCUGUUCUUCUUGAUCCAGCUGAUUUGUGACUGUAGGUGUGGUUCAUUGGUUCGUCCUGUUUUCUGCUCUGUAGCUGACAUCCGGAGAGCACACUGACAUAGCUUCAUAUGAAUGGACUCCUUUGGAACUGACUAGCACAAUUAUGGAGGCCAAGAAGUUCCACAGUCUGCUCUCUGCAAGCUGGAGACCCAGGAAAGCUGGUCACAUAACUCACUUCAAGUCUGAAGACCUCAGAAUCACAGAGCGUUUGUGGGGAGCAAUUGUGUAAAUUCUAGGUGGAUUCUGAAGGCCCAAGAACCAGAAGCUCUGAAGCCUGAGGGCAGGAGAAGAUAGAUGUCUCAGCUGAGGCAUAGAGAAAACUCACCCUUCGUCUGACUUUAUGUUCUAUUCAGGCCCUCAAUGGAUUGGAUGAUGCCCACUGCUUUGGUGAGGGUGGUCUUCCUUAGUCAUCUACUGGUUCAAAAUCUAAUCCCUUCCUGAAACACUUUCACAGACACUUCCAGAAAUGAUGUUUUACCAGUGAUCUGGGUGUCCCUUGGCCCAAUCAAGCUGACACAUAAAAGUAACCAGCACUGUAAGUAUUCAUUACAAUUUCUUUCAUUCCAGGCUUCUGGAAUGAAUUUUAAUGGAGACUUGUGGCAGGAGACUGGUUUCUGUGUUUGCCUGGGGAAGAGAAGGGAAGUUACACUACCUUCCGGGACUCACAAUCUGCUUGUGUGCCCAAGGCUGACAUUUGUUACUGCAUCUCAAUCCUGGAACCAUGAUCAGGGCUCAUCCUGGAUUUAAAGGAGGACCUGUAAGAUGAGAAGCUUUCUGGACAUACAUGACAAGCACUCAGAUAAAACACCUGCUCCCCACUAAGAAACUUCAAAGCCAACUUCAUCCACUUUGACCCUUCAGAAUAACUGCAGUCGAAGGAUAAAUGCUCCAUGUCCUCUCUGCCAGUCGGUGUUUAUCAGAGGACAUUGGAAGAAGAGGGACAAAGGUGCCUGGAUGUAUGUGUUCAUCAAGAGUCAUCAGGACCCUGGUUCUGAAAGGAAGUUUUAAAAUAAUGUUUUUGACAUCAAGAUGUUUCUGGAAGUUGAUGCGGUUCAAGAGUUUGGCAAACACAGGCCUGCAGGCUAAGUCCGAUCUAUUGCCUGUUUUUGUAAAUAAAGAUUUAUUGGAACACAGCCACACCCAUUUGUGGAUGGGUUGUCUGCUGCUGCUUUUGCGUUGCAGUGUGGAGCAGUAGCGACAGAGACCAUAUGCCUACAAAAUCUGAAAGAUUUACCAACUAGUUUUUUAACAGAGAAAGUGUGCUGACUCUUGAUAGAGCCUAUCCCAUUCACGGAGUAUCUAUGUAUCUAUACAUUUCCCUGCUGAGAAAUGUAUUUAUGGGAAUUUCGAUGACAGUCCACAUUUGGUGAGAUGCUGAGGGCUUUUGGUAAUGUACUUACGUAAUGGGUGUUCAGGACUGGUGUAUAGACAGCAGGAGGUGAGGCAGAUCAGGUGCAGGAGAUCAUGGUGUGAGAAAGAGGCUCUGCCAUUACUGUCUCAGUGGAAGUCACUGGUUGUGGCUCGGGUCUUCUUUUGUCAACUGUACAGAGGAGAAGGUGCCAAGACUUCUGACUUGGAGCGCACCUCGAUUUACUACCUUAAGACCUUAUGGUCAACAUUGUGGACGUCUGCUUCCAUGCCAAAAGAUGGGCAUCCUUUGUCACCAGUUGGUAGUUGGAUGGAUCAAGUUUAUCUGUGAGUGCAAGUCUAUGAUUCUCUGAAGCAAAGGUGCCAGUGAAGUUGCCUCAUAAACAAGCAGACCUUCCAGAAUCUUCCAUCGGAGAAUUAUCACCUGCAAAGACCUCUGAGAGCCACCAGCAACACACAGAAACGAGAGGAACCCCGGAAGAUGUUUGGAGAGGCCCACAAUGUGGGUGCAAAUUUCUUGGGGGACAGGGGACCGCUUCUGCUUUUGCUGUAAAGGACAGAAGUGGCCAUAAUUUCAAAGACGCCGGGUGAUAAGGUGGCAGCUACUAAAUAGCAACAGCAACAAAGAAUUGGAGAGAAGCACUUGGCAGGAUAGUUCCCGAAAACCCCCUCAAGCCUCUGCUUACCUAAUUGAUAUGCUGUCCUGGAACAAUUCUGUCUGACAUGGUGCUCCUGCAGGAUGCUUUCCAGGAGGAUUCCUGUGAACCUGACUCAGAAGAACAACAGUCUGUGCAUGAACCUGUUGUCCUCGAGAAUUUGAUCUUCUUUUUGUAGUAUCUUGUGAUGGUCAUGUCUUCCCCUUCUCUUUCUAUCAGCUUUUCAAAUGGUUGAUUUAGAAACCAAAUCAGUUUUCUAGUUAUUCAAGCAUUGAUUGUGUGGUCUUAGGUUCUCAUAACUAGUUUUCCUCAAGAUGAAUAUUGGGAAAAGUUUGGUAGCAAGCUUCAUCGUGAGGGAGGAGCCCUGAAAUAGGAGUCCAGAGCUGUUGUAAACUGGGGCAGGUUACUUCACCUCACUGAAACUUGGUUUCAUCAACUCUAGAUUAGAGGGUGGAUUAAAAUGCUUCUAAUUAUUAAAGCCUAUAAGACCUAAAAAAUGUGCUCCAGAGGAGAAAACACCACCAAAUAAAUACACCAACAAACGUGUAUUUAUUCACUCUUCCGCCAUGCUUCUGUAGACUGGUUUGAGAGAGCUCUUAAUCACCUAGUAUUAGCAUUAUCUUAAUUUCAUAUUGAAGGUAAUUCUGGUAACAUAACCAUAAGACUUGUACACUGGCUGACAUCCAUCCUUUUCCUAACAAAGUGGAUUAAUUAAUCCAGUCAAUUACUGUCAAGCAGAGGAGCAAGGUUGGGCAUUCUCUGAGAAAUGUGGUAGUUGUACAGCUGAUAUGGUUAAUUUACAAGACCUCAAAUGGAACAUUUAAAUUAAUUAUUUCAGUUGCUAUUAUGUUUAGAUAGUGCUGGUUGGGUAGAAAUCUAUUAAAACUAUGCAGUUUGGGUCAAUUUACCAAUGAAAAGGAUAAGCAUCAUUCUACCUUUUCUUUUUUCUUUCUAGAAUUAUAGCAAUUGAAGAAAUUAUAUUGUGAUAUUGGGCAAAUAAAUUAGUCAAUCCCCGCGCAAAAGUAGUUGAAAAGCAAACCAUUAGAACCCUCUUCCAGUCAAACAGAGGCCUCUUGGGAAGCAAUGUAUAACUAGAGCAAAGCUUAUAAAAUGAAAUAGGCAGGAUAUAAAAUUUUCAUAUACACACAACCCCUCAACAAGGACUUCUCUUACAAAUGUCUCCAUUACCUUGAUAGGAUUGGGAGUUGGCCAGUGGCUUUAUAAAUUUAAAGCAAAUAGUGACAAUUAGGUCCUUAGGGUACAUCCUCAUGCCUCCUUUAUUCACUUUAGGUUCAUUAUUUUGGAUUUUUCAUUUAUAUUUUUAUGUUUACAGUCCCUGGAGGAGGCUGAGUACUAUGUUUUGACAGUGGAAUCUGAAAGAGCUACAAUUCUAGAUUCUGUAAAUGCUGCUUGAUCAUAAAAAGUCUUAGCUUUAACUUUGAUUGCUGUCUCAUUGGUUAAGCCCUUUGGGUGGGAUAUACAUUCUAUUGAAAGGUCAGUCCCUCAAAUUCUGGUAUUGAGGUCUGCUCUUCAGAGGUUCAAACUGUGGGUGGUUUAGUUCAUAUCCUUUACCCCAAAAUGAAAAUUCUGGGAUUCUCAUUAGCCUUCUCCCAAAGCAAACCUUUAAAGCUUCCCCAACACAUGUAAAAACCAAACUUUACGAGGAUCCAGGACCAGCCAGGAAAUUUUAACAAAGACUAAAUUUUAGAACAGCAGAUCUCUCGUUGUGCAAAGGACAUUGCUAAACUUCUGGGUUGGAAGGUAUCCUGAUCUACCUAAUUCUAUUUAUGAAACUGCAUAUGUGCUUUGAAACUCCAUUUAGAUCCAACUCUUUCAGCUAGAGAUGGAAACCAUAUGUGUGUCUAAGGCCCAUAUGUUAGGGCUUGGAGAGUCUUAGAUUUUGUUUUGAUUUCCAACUCAGCAUCAUUUUCAGAUUUGGAGGCAUCUGGGUAUGUCCUUGACCCUCCGUGUCAUGUGGCAAUAUUUUUGUUAUCCAUUCUUCUUCUUCUUAGAUGAUUCCUUUUUCCAUAUGCUUGGAAAGGUGUUGUGGCCUUUCAUUCUCAAAAGAUUGUUCUAAGGAAAACAGAAUUGAAGUAAAUAUAUGGAAAAAAUCAAGUUCAUAGUCUUAUACCUGGAUGAAAUAGUAUUCUGUUUAUUGUUUAUGUACAUUCAUUAGGGCUUCUUUUUUCCUUCACUCACUGUUUCUUUUGUGUCAUGUGGACUUCCAUUUCCACUGGACACAUACCCAAGGAUUGUGGGCAUAUCCCAGUGUGAAGAUGGUUGGCUGACCCCCAAAUCUAUUUCCCCAUUCUUUUGAAGUAAUGAUCUAGUUGUAGCUGGGCAUGUAGCCUCUCAGCUAGGGACUGUCUUCCAAACCUCACUGGUAGGCAUGUGUUGAAAUUCUUACCGAUGAAAUGUGAGCAAUAGGGAUAGGAGACAUUUUAAGGCCUAUGUCCAAACACAUUGCCUUUCCCUUUGGUUGACACUGAAAUACAGAAUAGUCUAAGACCAGCUUCAAAUGCAGAUGAUAGCAAUAUCCUGGGGCGUUGAUGGACACAUGCAAUGGAAAGAACUGAACUCUUCUAAUUUCUGCAAGGAGCGGAGCCACCUGCUGACUUACCCUACUGCUGGAUUGGCAGGAAAAAAGCUUCUUUGUCCUUAAAAGUAGCUUUUACCCUAAAAUCAUGUGUAGACCUUAGGGCUUAUGUAUCAUAAUUAAAGGAAAAGAUAUCCUUUUCUGCAUAGAACCAAGAGAGAUUCUUAGGCUGUGGGGACAUGGAUUCAACAGGAAAUCAGUUCUCUGAACAAAACAUUUAUAGAUCCAUUUGGGAAAAAAUCGCCAGUCUGGUUAUUUGGCCUGAUAGUACUGAGAUCAGAAGGGUUGUUUAUCCAACACAGGAAUUCAUUUUUCUUUGUUGGUUGGUCACUCAAAACUUUACCUAUAAAAUUUUUAACAAUUGAGUUAAUGUUGUUACCAAUUACUAAAACACCUCUUUAGUGAAAGGGUGCAGACAUAAGAAUAGCUCAGUUGCCCAAGCCUCUGCCUUCAGGUCAUGAUGGAGCCCCAUGUCAGGCUCUCUGCUCUGCAGAGAGUCUGCUUCUCUUUCUCCUUCUGUGCUCUCUUACUCUCAAAUAAAUAAAUAAAUAAAUAAAUAAGCAAACAAACAAACAAAUAAAUAAAUAAAAUCUUUAUCAACAAGAAUGAAAAGCAAAGUGCGUAAGAUUUUCCUGAGGGAAGAAAAUGGGAAAACCUCUCUUGGUAGCUCACCUUUCCAGGGUCAGGCUUUGGUGGGCAGCUCUUGGGCUCUGGCAGGUGAAAUCUAGUGGCACCUCAGUCUAUGAUUUUACCUGACUUAUCCUCAAGUCCCUAAACUAUAACAUGGCAAUGAUGAUGCCAAUCUCAUUUAUUUUUACAGUUGGUAGAUCAUCUUCAGUAAUAUUUCUAUGGUAUCUGACACAUAUCCUGUGUUUAAUAAACGAUGUUUGGAGGUUCAGGGCAGCUUCUCACAGGUUCCCUUUGCUGAUGGUGGUUACCUGGUAUAGGAUGUGAAGGCAAGGACAAAGAUCCGUGUUUUCAUGAGAUUAAGGAGGGGAUGGACUUCUAGAUUGGCUUCCUUAUGAUUUAUUCAAGAUUUUAAGAACCAAAAUGUGCCAAGCCUUUUAAAGAUCUCAAAAAAUUAAGAUGUUUUUAAACAUAAAAAUUAUGCUGUGUAGGGCCACCUGGGUAGCUUAGAUGGUUAAGUGACUGACUCUUGGUUUUUGCUCAGAUCGAGAUCUUGUGAGUUUUGAGAUAGAGCCCACCUCAUCUGGCUCUGCACUCAGCAGGGAGUCUGCUUGAGGAUUCUCUCCUUCUGCCUCUCCCCCUACUCAUGUACUCUUCCCUAAACUAAAUAAAUAAAUCUUUGAAAAUG
This is a long non-coding RNA of Canis lupus familiaris (dog), 6556 nucleotides long. RefSeq lists it as uncharacterized. The record is from RefSeq and is a predicted model, not a curated record. NCBI's taxonomy places the organism in Eukaryota, Metazoa, Chordata, Mammalia, Carnivora, Canidae. The transcript is spliced from 11 exons.